Molecule: non-coding RNA, 146 nt
Organism: Gossypium raimondii (Peruvian cotton)
Lineage: Eukaryota; Viridiplantae; Streptophyta; Magnoliopsida; Malvales; Malvaceae
Source: Rfam
CAUUAAAAAUUUCAUCUAUUUAUAUAUUGUUAAAAAAUGUUGUGGCUGACAGAAUAACCAGAUAGUGACACCAGUGUGCCACAUGUACCUCAUGUUGAUGUACAAAUAUCAAUUUUUAACAAUAAAAAUAGAUGAAAUUUUUAACA